UACGGAGGAUGCAAGCGUUAUCCGGAUUUAUUGGGUUUAAAGGGUGCGCAGGUUGUUUGAUAAGUCAGUGGUGAAAGUCUGUCGCUUAACGGUAGGAUUGCCAUUGAUACUGUUAGACUUGAAUAUGGAUGAGGCAGGCGGAAUGUGUAGUGUAGCGGUGAAAUGCAUAGAUAUUACACAGAACACCGAUUGCUAAGGCAGCUUACUAAGCCAUAACUGACGCUCAAGCACGAAGGCGUGGGGAUCAAACA
This 251-nucleotide ribosomal RNA is filed under the name uncultured prokaryote. Its description in RNAcentral is "partial 16S ribosomal RNA". It matches the Rfam family "Bacterial small subunit ribosomal RNA", at positions 524 to 774 of the family's 1533-position model. The record is from RNAcentral.